Molecule: ribosomal RNA, 377 nt
Filed under: Apogon pacificus (pink cardinalfish)
Lineage: Eukaryota; Metazoa; Chordata; Actinopteri; Kurtiformes; Apogonidae
Description: partial 16S ribosomal RNA
Rfam family: Bacterial large subunit ribosomal RNA
Source: RNAcentral
GAGAAGACCCUAUGGAGCUUUAGACAUAAGACAGACCAUGUUAAGGAACCCUAAGAUAAUGGGAUGAACUUAGUGGCUAUUGUUUGACUUGUCUUUGGUUGGGGCGACCACGGAGUAAAACAAAACCCCCGUGUGGUAUGAGGGCAGCCCCCUCUAAGGUAAGAGUGACAACUCUAACUAACAGAAAUUCUGACCAAUAAUGAUCCGCUAAAGCGAUCAACGGACCGAGUUACCCUAGGGAUAACAGCGCAAUCCCCUUCUAGAGCCCAUAUCGACAAGGGGGUUUACGACCUCGAUGUUGGAUCAGGACAUCCUAAUGGCGCAGCCGCUAUUAAGGGUUCGUUUGUUCAACGAUUAAAGUCCUACGUGAUCUGAGU